GCGAACGCUGGCGGCAGGCCUAACACAUGCAAGUCGAACGAACUCUUCGGAGUUAGUGGCGGACGGGUGAGUAACACGUGGGAACGUGCCUUUAGGUUCGGAAUAACUCAGGGAAACUUGUGCUAAUACCGAAUGUGCCCUUCGGGGGAAAGAUUUAUCGCCUUUAGAGCGGCCCGCGUCUGAUUAGCUUGUUGGUGGGGUAAUGGCCCACCAAGGCUACGAUCAGUAGCUGGUCUGAGAGGAUGACCAGCCACAUUGGGACUGAGACACGGCCCAAACUCCUACGGGAGGCAGCAGUGGGGAAUCUUGCGCAAUGGGCGAAAGCCUGACGCAGCCAUGCCGCGUGUAUGAUGAAGGUCUUAGGAUUGUAAAAUACUUUCACCGGUGAAGAUAAUGACUGUAGCCGGAGAAGAAGCCCCGGCUAACUUCGU
RNAcentral lists this ribosomal RNA (431 nucleotides) under uncultured bacterium. RNAcentral's name for it is "bacterial SSU rRNA". It matches the Rfam family "Bacterial small subunit ribosomal RNA", at positions 29 to 506 of the family's 1533-position model. The record is from RNAcentral.